UACGUAGGGGGCAAGCGUUGCCCGGAUUUAUUGGGCGUAAAGAGCGUGUAGGCGGCCAAACAGGUCAGCUGUGAAAACUCGAGGCUCAACCUCGAGACGUCGGUUGAAACCGUUUGGCUAGAGUCCGGAAGAGGAGAGUGGAAUUCCCGGUGUAGCGGUGAAAUGCGCAGAUAUCGGGAAGAACACCCGUGGCGAAGGCGGCUCUCUGGGACGGUACUGACGCUGAGACGCGAAAGCGUGGGGAGCGAACAGG
This 253-nucleotide ribosomal RNA is filed under the name uncultured bacterium. RNAcentral's name for it is "partial 16S ribosomal RNA". It matches the Rfam family "Bacterial small subunit ribosomal RNA", at positions 524 to 776 of the family's 1533-position model. The record is from RNAcentral.